Molecule: ribosomal RNA, 216 nt
Filed under: Glomeromycotina sp.
Lineage: Eukaryota; Fungi; Glomeromycota
Description: partial small subunit ribosomal RNA
Rfam family: Eukaryotic small subunit ribosomal RNA (bases 44-216)
Source: RNAcentral
GGGUCAGUAGGUUGGUCGUGCCACCGGUACGUACUGGUCUCACUGAUUCCUCCUUCCUGAAGAACCGUAAUGCCAUUAAUUUGGUGUUGCGGGGAAACAGGACUGUUACUUUGAAAAAACUAGAGUGCUUAAAGCAAGCUAACGCUUGAAUACAUUAGCAUGGAAUAAUGAAAUAGGACGAUCGAUCCUAUUUUGUUGGUUUCUAGGAUUGACGUA